AGUGAACGCUGGCGGUAGGCCUAACACAUGCAAGUCGAACGGCAGCACAGUAAGAGCUUGCUCUUACGGGUGGCGAGUGGCGGACGGGUGAGGAAUACAUCGGAAUCUACUUUUUCGUGGGGGAUAACGUAGGGAAACUUACGCUAAUACCGCAUACGACCUACGGGUGAAAGCAGGGGAUCUUCGGACCUUGCGCGAUUGAAUGAGCCGAUGUCGGAUUAGCUAGUUGGCGGGGUAAAGGCCCACCAAGGCGACGAUCCGUAGCUGGUCUGAGAGGAUGAUCAGCCACACUGGAACUGAGACACGGUCCAGACUCCUACGGGAGGCAGCAGUGGGGAAUAUUGGACAAUGGGCGCAAGCCUGAUCCAGCCAUACCGCGUGAGUGAAGAAGGCCUUCGGGUUGUAAAGCCCUUUUAUUGGGAAAGAAAAGCAGCAGGUUAAUACCCCGCUGUUCUGACGGUACCCAAAGAAUAAGCACCGGCUAACUUCGUG
This 492-nucleotide ribosomal RNA is filed under the name uncultured bacterium. RNAcentral describes it as "partial 16S ribosomal RNA". It matches the Rfam family "Bacterial small subunit ribosomal RNA", at positions 29 to 507 of the family's 1533-position model. The record is from RNAcentral.